CUGAAAGGUUUGGUCCUGGCUUUACUAUCAGCUUUAACCCGAUUUACACAUGCAAGCCUCCGCGGCCCUGUGAGGAUGCCCUCAAGCUCCCGUCCGGAGAUGAGGAGCGGGUAUCAGGCACGAUAUUCAGCCCACAACGCCUUGUUUAGCCACACCCCCAAGGGAAUUCAGCAGUGAUUAACAUUAAGACAUAAGUGAAAACUUGACUUAGUCAGGGAUAAGAGGGCCGGUAAAACUCGUGCCAGCCACCGCGGUUAUACGAGAGGCCCAAGUUGAUAGUCUCGGCGUAAAGGGUGGUUAUGGACAUUCGCCAAACUAGAGCUGAAGACCCCCUGGGCUGUUAUACGCAUCUGGGAGUUCGAAUCACUUAUACGAAAGUAGCUCUAACCUCUUCCACCAGAACCCACGACAGCUGGGAUACAAACUGGGAUUAGAUACCCCACUAUGCCCUGCCGUAAACUUAGAUAUUCGAUCACAAUAAAUAUCCGCCUGAGAACUACGAGCGCUAGCUUAAAACUCAAAGGACUUGGCGGUGCUCCAGACCCCCCUAGAGGAGCCUGUUCUAUAACCGAUAACCCCCGUUCAACCUCACUACUUCUUGCUCAUUCCGUUUAUAUACCACCGUCGCCAGCUUAUCCUGUGAAGGUACAGCAGUAAGCAGGAUGGGUAAAGCCCAGAACGUCAGGUCGAGGCGCAGCGUACGAAGUAGGAAGAAAUGGGCUACAUUAUCUGACACAGAUAAUUCACGGAGAGUUGCCUGAAAUAAGCACUCUGAAGGUGGAUUUAGCAGUAAGGAGAGAGUAGAGAGCUCUCCUGAAGCCGGCUCUGGAGCGCGCACACACCGCCCGUCAUUCUCUCCGAUAACAUGAUACCUUGUAGCUAACACAAUACCAACCACUAAGGAGAGGUAAGUCGUAACAUGGUAAGUGUACCGGAAGGUGCACUUGGAAUAAC
RNAcentral lists this non-coding RNA (954 nucleotides) under Sardinella albella (white sardinella). Its description in RNAcentral is "12S ribosomal RNA". It matches the Rfam family "Bacterial small subunit ribosomal RNA". The record is from RNAcentral. Lineage: Eukaryota; Metazoa; Chordata; Actinopteri; Clupeiformes; Clupeidae. RNAcentral also lists the same sequence under 1 other name.